UACGUAGGGUGCGAGCGUUGUCCGGAAUUACUGGGCGUAAAGAGCUCGUAGGUGGUUUGUCGCGUUGUUCGUGAAAACUCACAGCUUAACUGUGGGCGUGCGGGCGAUACGGGCAGACCGGAGUACUGCAGGGGAGACUGGAAUUCCUGGUGUAGCGGUGGAAUGCGCAGAUAUCAGGAGGAACACCGGUGGCGAAGGCGGGUCUCUGGGCAGUAACUGACGCUGAGGAGCGAAAGCGUGGGGAGCGAACAGG
This 253-nucleotide ribosomal RNA is filed under the name uncultured bacterium. RNAcentral's name for it is "partial 16S ribosomal RNA". It matches the Rfam family "Bacterial small subunit ribosomal RNA", at positions 524 to 776 of the family's 1533-position model. The record is from RNAcentral.